This is a long non-coding RNA of Cryptotermes secundus, 1950 nucleotides long. RefSeq lists it as uncharacterized. NCBI's taxonomy places the organism in Eukaryota, Metazoa, Arthropoda, Insecta, Blattodea, Kalotermitidae. The record is from RefSeq and is a predicted model, not a curated record. The transcript is spliced from 3 exons.
AGCCCGUCCAAUGGUAGUACAUUCUUUAGAGUAGAAAAAGUUCCCACAGGAAUUGCCAUUUAAAAAAAAAAUCCAAGGAGGAAGCAGUUUUUCAGUGGAAACAGACAAGAUUAUGGGACCACCGUGUUUCUUUAUCAUCCGUGUGUGCCAUCCUUACCAUAAUGUGUGAACCAACUGAUGGAUUUAUGUGAAACUCUGUAUUGUUAUCGUGCCACUCAUAUGUUCUUUCAAUUGUCUACCAUCAGCCAUAUUAACAUGGUGACUUAGUUAGAAGCAACACUAGAGCCACUUAAUAUAGUGUACUACAUUUUUGUAUGGUAGUAGGUCCUUAAGAAAAGGGUCGUGGGGUAAGCAUUUAUACCCAUUCAGAAGGUUCUUAGUUCAAUCCUCAGUCACAUCUGUGUACAGAUUUUUCUGCUCACUGAUGAUGCCUUCAGAUCUACCAGAGUUAAAGCUUCGGGAAUACAAAAGAAACCCCCCCCCCAUGGGUUGCAUCCCAUGUUAAAUUAUAGGGUUCCUCUGCUGACCAGCACUAUUGUGAUUACCUCAUCAUGAGGGGGGGGGCUGAGAUUGUUGUAUUCCACCUCAGAUGCUUUCAGUAGUAUCAGUUGUUUUGACUUACUUUUCUUCCAUUCUGUAUGUCACAGUUUGUAACUAGGCAACAUAUUGUGACAUUUGAGUGUGUAAAUACUUUGUACUCGAUACAGUUUGUUGUGUAGGCAUAGAAUGUGGGAGAAUGGUUCAUUUUGCAGAUAGGUUGCAUGAAUUAAGAAGAAACAUGACUCAAAAUUAUUACUGUCCCAUUGUACUUUUAUUAAAAUAUUUAGCGUUAAUCAUUUCAAUCCGUAUGACUUUAAUGUGCUGUAGCAUGCCCAUUUCUGGUUAUUGGCUGUGUGAGUAAGUUGUGUUGGAAAACGGAAUGUUACAUAUUUUUAUUAUUUCACAAAAUAACGGAUUGAACUAUAUAUGGAUCAUACCCUCUUUCCUGGCUGAUACUUCAGGAUGAAAGGAUUUUACGUGUUACUUGGAAACAUGGCCACAUUCUGUAAGAUCCUAAAAUACAAUGACUUUAAUGUUGUCUCUCUCUCUAAUUUCAGAUACCUGUCUCAUGAAUUUCAUGGAAAGAGACCAGGGAAAAAUGAAGUGGAGAAACGGAUGAAGAAGAAUGAACAGGAAGGAUUGAUGAAACAGAUGAGCUCAACAGACACUCACUUGGACCACGUAGCCUCUUGCAGCAGAAACAGAAAGAAACAGUCUCCAUUUGUGGUCCUUAGUGGCAGUAAACAAACGGCAACCAUCUCGAAAACAAAACUGCAAAUUCUUCAUGAAAUACGCUGCCACCAACUCUGAAAUAUAGUGUGGACUCAUGAUUUUAUUGUUUCUUACUGUCUGAAAUAUCAUCUCUAUUUUAAAUAAGACACAGCUUGCAGCUGCCGACAGUGCCCACAUGUACUGGAAGGAAGGCCACGGAGUUCAUGUCACAUAAAUGAGUACAGUGGUUCUCCUGCUUCCUUAGGUAACCUGUUGGCACCUGUAAGCUGAAAAGUACAAUUUCUAGUGAUUAGUUGCUUGCUUAUAGGACUUGAGCCAGAUGAACAGCCUCUAAGCUAAAUCAGACAUGAAGUGAUUAUAUUUGUUUUUUCCUUGAUUGCAAUAGCAAUAUUGUACACCCCCCAUCAAUGCUGCAUUCAACCCUGAAAAUUGGUCACUAAACAGAGAUGGGUAUUCUUCCAAGAGAAGAAGGGAACCCUCAUUCAGUGGUAGGCGAGUAUGAGAAGCUGUAAAGUUAUACAAGCACCACAAUCAGAAGAUGUACAGUCUACUGCAAAUCAUUGUAAAGCACCACUGAUAUAUUACUGAAACACAUGUAAAAUUAUACGAGGGUAAGUCAAUAAGCAAGUUACAAAUGGAUAUAGAACUUAAACAAAUAAGAGUACUGAUUUGAAAAAU